UCUACGGGAGGCUGCAGUGAGGAAUAUUGGUCAAUGGACGAGAGUCUGAACCAGCCAAGUAGCGUGAAGGAUGACUGCCCUACGGGUUGUAAACUUCUUUUAUAGGGGAACAAAACACGGUAUGCAUACCCCCUUGUAUGUACCAGAUGAAUAAGGAUCGGCUAACUCCGUGCCAGCAGCCGCGGUAAUACGGAGGAUCCGAGCGUUAUCCGGAUUUAUUGGGUUUAAAUGGAGCGUAGGGGGAUGGUUAAGUCAGUCGGGAAAGUUUGGGGCUCAACCGUGAAAUUGCAGUUGAAACUGGGAGUCUUGAGUACAGUAGAGGUACGCGGAAUUCGUGGUGUAGCGGUGAAAUGCUUAGAUAUCACGAAGAACUCCGAUUGCGAAGGCAGCUCACUGGACUGCAACUGACGCUGAUGCUCGAAAGUGUGGGUAUCAAACAGGAUUAGAUACCCCUGUAGUC
Molecule: ribosomal RNA, 460 nt
Filed under: uncultured bacterium
Lineage: Bacteria
Description: partial 16S ribosomal RNA
Rfam family: Bacterial small subunit ribosomal RNA
Source: RNAcentral